GGUUAACCGUAUAGGGGAGCCGUAGCGAAAGCGAGUCUUAACUGGGCGCUCAGUCUCUGGAUAUAGACCCGAAACCGGGUGAUCUAGCCAUGGGCAGGUUGAAGGUUGAGUAACAUCAACUGGAGGACCGAACCGACUAAUGUUGAAAAAUUAGCGGAUGACUUGUGGCUAGGGGUGAAAGGCCAAUCAAACUCGGAGAUAGCUGGUUCUCCCCGAAAG
RNAcentral lists this ribosomal RNA (219 nucleotides) under Vibrio cholerae. Its description in RNAcentral is "partial 23S ribosomal RNA". It matches the Rfam family "Bacterial large subunit ribosomal RNA", at positions 644 to 865 of the family's 2925-position model. Lineage: Bacteria; Pseudomonadati; Pseudomonadota; Gammaproteobacteria; Vibrionales; Vibrionaceae. The record is from RNAcentral.